RNAcentral lists this ribosomal RNA (253 nucleotides) under uncultured bacterium. Its description in RNAcentral is "partial 16S ribosomal RNA". It matches the Rfam family "Bacterial small subunit ribosomal RNA", at positions 524 to 776 of the family's 1533-position model. The record is from RNAcentral.
UACGGGGGGGGUAAGCGUUGUUCGGAAUUACUGGGCGUAAAGGGCUCGUAGGCGGCCAACUAAGUCGGAUGUGAAAUCCCCAGGCUCAACUUGGGAACUGCAUCCGAUACUGGAUGGCUUGAAUCCGGGAGAGGGAUGCAGAAUUCCAGGUGCAGCGGUGAAAUGCGUAGAUAUCUGGAGGAAUACCGGUGGCGAAGGCGGCAUCCUGGACCGGCAUUGACGCUGAUGAGCGAAAGCUAGGGGAGCAAACGGG